UACGGGGGGAGCAAGCGUUGUUCGGAUUUACUGGGCGUAAAGGGCGCGUAGGCGGCCACGACAAGUCACUUGUGAAAUCUCCGGGCUUAACUCGGAACGGUCAAGUGAUACUGUCGGGCUAGAGUGCAGAAGGGGCAACUGGAAUUCUCGGUGUAGCGGUGAAAUGCGUAGAUAUCGAGAGGAACACCUGCGGCGAAGGCGGCCUUCUGGACGGUUACUGACGCUGAGACGCGAAAGCGUGGGGAGCAAACAGG
This 254-nucleotide ribosomal RNA is filed under the name uncultured bacterium. RNAcentral describes it as "partial 16S ribosomal RNA". It matches the Rfam family "Bacterial small subunit ribosomal RNA", at positions 524 to 776 of the family's 1533-position model. The record is from RNAcentral.